This 468-nucleotide ribosomal RNA is filed under the name uncultured bacterium. RNAcentral's name for it is "partial 16S ribosomal RNA". It matches the Rfam family "Bacterial small subunit ribosomal RNA", at positions 28 to 507 of the family's 1533-position model. The record is from RNAcentral.
GACGAACGCUGGCGGCGUGCUUAACACAUGCAAGUCGAACGGAAAGGCCCUGCUUUUGUGGGGUGCUCGAGUGGCGAACGGGUGAGUAACACGUGAGUAACCUGCCCUUGACUUUGGGAUAACUUCAGGAAACUGGGGCUAAUACCGGAUAGGAGCUCCUGCUGCAUGGUGGGGGUUGGAAAGUUUCGGCGGUUGGGGAUGGACUCGCGGCUUAUCAGCUUGUUGGUGGGGUAGUGGCUUACCAAGGCUUUGACGGGUAGCCGGCCUGAGAGGGUGACCGGCGACAUUGGGAAUGAGAUACGGCCCAGACUCCUACGGGAGGCAGCAGUGGGGAAUAUUGCACAAUGGGCGGAAGCCUGAUGCAGCAACGCCGCGUGCGGGAUGACGGCCUUCGGGUUGUAAACCGCUUUCGCCUGUGACGAAGCGUGAGUGACGGUAAUGGGUAAAGAAGCACCGGCUAACUACGUG